CUGUUGUCACCCCCACAGUGUCACCCCUGCUGUGUCACCCUCGUGGUGUCACCCUCAAGGUGUCACCCUCAAGGUGUCACCCGGCCCUGCUGUGUCACUGUCAUGGUGUCACCCUGGUGUCACCCUCACGGUGUCACUGUUACCGUGUCACCCUCACGGUGUCACCCCUGCGGUGUCACCCUCGUGUCACUCCCACGGUUUCACCCUCACGGUGUCACCCUCGCAGUGUCACCCCCGUGGUGUCACCCCCAUGGUGUCACCCGGCCCUGCUGUGUCACCCCCGCGGUGUCACCUCGAUUGUGUCACCCUCGCAGUGUCACCGUCACGGUGUCACCCUCACGGUGUCACCCUCAAUGUGUCACCCCCAUGGUGUCACCCUCGCGGUGUCACCUCGAUUGUGUCACCCCCACGGUGUCACCCCCAUGGUGUCACCCUCGUGUUGUCACCCCCGUGGUGUCACAGCCGCUGGGGCGGUGUCACAGCUGUCACCGUCACACAGACACGGGGUCACCCCGCCCACGGCACACACGGCGUCAGUGUCACACACAGCGUCACACACAGGUGUCACACAGACAGGUGUCACACACACAGGUGUCACACACAGCGUCACACAGACAGGUGUCCACAGGUGUGUCUCAGGUGUGUCACACACACAGGUGUCCCCAGUUGUCCCCAGGUGUCCUGAGGUGUCACACAGGUACCCCAGGUGUCACACAGGUGUGUCUCAGGUGUGUCCCCAGCUGUCCCCAGGUGUCCCCAGGUGUGUCUCAGGUGUGUCUCAGGUGUUCCCAGGUGUCCCCAGGUGUGUCACACACACACAGGUGUCACACAGGUGUCACACAGGUGUCACACAGGUGUCCCCAGAUGUGUCCCCAGGUGUCACACAGAUGUCACACACACACACAGGUGUCACACAGAUACCCCAGGUGUGUCCCAGGUGUCCCCAGGUGUGUCCCAGGUGUCACACAGGUGACACACACACACACAGGUGCCCCCAGGUGUGUCCCAGGUGUGUCCCAGGUGUGUCUGAGGUGUUCCCAGAUGUCCCCAGGUGUGUCACAGGUGUCCCCAGGUGUGUUCCAGGUGUCACACAGGUGUCACACACACACAGGUGUCACACAGGUGUUACACAGGUGUCACACAGAUACCCCAGGUGUGUCCCAGGUGUCACACAGGUGUCACACAGGUGUCACACCCACCCCCACAGCUUCCUGGCCGCCGGGGGUUACGUCC
Molecule: long non-coding RNA, 1233 nt
Filed under: Cyanistes caeruleus (blue tit)
Lineage: Eukaryota; Metazoa; Chordata; Aves; Passeriformes; Paridae
Description: lncRNA (ENSCCEG00000003946.1)
Source: RNAcentral